This 484-nucleotide ribosomal RNA is filed under the name uncultured bacterium. RNAcentral describes it as "partial 16S ribosomal RNA". It matches the Rfam family "Bacterial small subunit ribosomal RNA", at positions 30 to 507 of the family's 1533-position model. The record is from RNAcentral.
AUUGAACGCUGGCGGCAGGCCUAACACAUGCAAGUCGAGCGGUAGAGAGAAGCUUGCUUCUCUUGAGAGCGGCGGACGGGUGAGUAAUGCCUAGGAAUCUGCCUGGUAGUGGGGGAUAACGUUCGGAAACGGACGCUAAUACCGCAUACGUCCUACGGGAGAAAGCAGGGGACCUUCGGGCCUUGCGCUAUCAGAUGAGCCUAGGUCGGAUUAGCUAGUUGGUGGGGUAAUGGCUCACCAAGGCGACGAUCCGUAACUGGUCUGAGAGGAUGAUCAGUCACACUGGAACUGAGACACGGUCCAGACUCCUACGGGAGGCAGCAGUGGGGAAUAUUGGACAAUGGGCGAAAGCCUGAUCCAGCCAUGCCGCAUGUGUGAAGAAGGUCUUCGGAUUGUAAAGCACUUUAAGUUGGGAGGAAGGGCAGUAAAUUAAUACUUUGCUGUUUUGACGUUACCGACAGAAUAAGCACCGGCUAACUCUGUG